Molecule: unclassified non-coding RNA, 157 nt
Filed under: uncultured Shiraia
Lineage: Eukaryota; Fungi; Ascomycota; Dothideomycetes; Pleosporales
Description: sequence contains ITS2
Source: RNAcentral
GUACCUUCAAGCUUUGCUUGGUGAUGGGUGUUUGUCCUAUCCUCUGCGACUGGACUCGCCUUAAAAUUAUUGGCAGCCGGCAUAUUGGCCUUUGGAGCGCAGCACAUUUUGCGAUCUAAGCUAGUAUACUGGUAUCCAUAAAGCGUACUUUUAUCAC